GGGAGCAAGGCGGAAAUUGAGGGCAUGGGGAAAUUAUCUUUACAUUGAUUGGCUGUCGUAGGCGGAAGUGUGUCCGAGAUCUCAAGCCUUCCUUGCUGGCCGACUAGACAACCACAUUGUAGCCUUUCAGCCGAGUCGAUCGUGAUCUUUGCAAGCACAAUAUUCUCGACAAGGGACGCUGAUUGAGCUGUAUCACUCAAAGUAAUAAAUUAUUUGGUCCUGUGGGGAUUACAAAACGACCCCCUGACCAAAAUAUUUCUCCCUCAUGCGGCAUUUAUACACAGGGGCACUCAUAUGGGUCAAGCAAAUGGAUGAGUCAAGACGUUAUCUGCUAUUAAACCUUUUAACUCCCAGAUCUUUUAAGUAAUUCACCUCACUGUCGCCAUACCAAUUCUUGUGAUGUUAGUUUGGAAAAUUUGGUAUUGGAUCAACCAAUAAUUCCUUAACAGAUAUUUUUCUUUCCUCUGAUCACUUGAAUUCAUGAUAUUGUAUUGACAUUGUGAGGGGGAAUUCUGUCUUGGUCACUCAUGGGAAUUAACGGUUAAAAUAUUUACUGAAGGUUUGGUAGAAAACAGUUAGCAGCUAGACUUUGACACCAGGGUCAGAACUAAAAGGUUUCAGCAUGCUAGGAACAGGGAAAUGUCUUGCACAAAUAGAACGUGAUGCGCUAACUUAUCACAUGACUUACUUUCAACGCGAUUCAGCGGAACUUGUUCAAAACACGUCACCUCCAAUGUUCAACUAUGUGGUUCAUUCAAUCUAAAUCUCUUUUUACUCGUGAUAUAUAAAUUAUUUGUAAACGAUGCUUUUGCUCGUGAUUCUCUUGUUUUUUUAGAAAUAAAAGACCCUAAAACUGUCAA
Molecule: long non-coding RNA, 860 nt
Organism: Pocillopora damicornis (cauliflower coral)
Lineage: Eukaryota; Metazoa; Cnidaria; Anthozoa; Scleractinia; Pocilloporidae
Source: RefSeq, a predicted model, not a curated record